GACGAACGCUGGCGGCGUGCCUAAUACAUGCAAGUCGAGCGCAGGAAACUGACGGAACUCUUCGGAGGGAAGGCAGUGGAAUGAGCGGCGGACGGGUGAGUAACACGUAAGGAACCUGCCUCAAGGAUUGGGAUAACUCCGAGAAAUCGGAGCUAAUACCGGAUAGUUCAUCGGACCGCAUGGUCCGUUGAUGAAAGGCGCUUCGGCGUCACCUUGAGAUGGCCUUGCGGUGCAUUAGCUAGUUGGUGGGGUAACGGCCGACCAAGGCGACGAUGCAUAGCCGACCUGAGAGGGUGAUCGGCCACACUGGGACUGAGACACGGCCCAGACUCCUGCGGGAGGCAGCAGUAGGGAAUCUUCCACAAUGGACGAAAGUCUGAUGGAGCAACGCCGCGUGAGUGAUGAAGGUUUUCGGAUCGUAAAACUCUGUUGUAAGGGAAGAACACGUACGAGAGGUAAUGCUCAUACCUUGACGGUACCUUACGAGAAAGCCACGGCUAACUACGUGCCAGCAGCCGCCGUAA
RNAcentral lists this ribosomal RNA (524 nucleotides) under uncultured bacterium. Its description in RNAcentral is "partial 16S ribosomal RNA". It matches the Rfam family "Bacterial small subunit ribosomal RNA", at positions 28 to 523 of the family's 1533-position model. The record is from RNAcentral.